GCUCAAGUGUCCUGUUGACACUGGUCCUGCUUUGUUCACAGACAGCAAAGGUGAAUCCAUGCCCUGCACAGUUGGAACAGCCCAUACCCCAGGGGAGCCCCCAUGGGGCGCAGACUGUUCAGCUUUUGUGCUGGUUUUCUUGGCCCUCAGGCCAACCAAGCGACGGGAGGCAAGCGUAGCAGGCAUUCUUCCUCCCCUGGGUUCUCAGAAAUGGAUAAACCAACACAUGAGACCCACAGCCACCCUGGCGUAUUUGCAGGGAGUGCUUACUAUGUGCCAGACAGUUUGCUCCUCUACAGAUAAAACCCUGGGAGCUUCUCCCUGCAGCCCUGCGACAGGGGUGGCUUUCUAACUCCCACCCCUCCACUCCCUUCCUUCCUUCCCUUUCUGCUUCCUUCCUUCCUUCUCCCAGCUUUCCACCUUUGAUUCCAAAAGUCAGUCCCAGGGCAGUGGCAGGGGGCAGCAGGAUUGCUGGCCCUCAGGGUACCUGUCUAGGGCAGGAGGGAAGGGCCCUGGGAAGUUAGGAUCAUGGCCCGGCUGUCUAGGAGGACCCAGGGGACCUGACUCAGGCAGAGCAGCAAAGGGAACAAGGCAAGUGCAGAGAUACUGGACCCAGGGAAGGGCAUUGACUCAUGUGGGGCACUGGCCUGAGCAGGGAAGCCCUUCUGGCUGGGAUUCCAAGAAGGAAUAUUUCUCAGCCAGUCCCCAGUUUGACACCUCCAAAAAUUAAUGCCAGAGGCCCCCUCAGCAAAGCCUGGGGCACGAUAGGCGCACCAUCAAGGAGCAUCAAAUCAAACUGACCAGGAACUCGAGGAACGUCGCUUCCUCCAACACCUGAGAAAACAGGAGGCAAAGCCGGGCCAGGUCUUAUGGAAAGACUGGGAGAACCAGGGAGCCCAGAACAUCUGAAAGAAGGACUUCAGGACCUAGCCCUGAAGGAGCUAGGUUCAGGUGCUGAAAAGAAGCCGCCAGUGCUGGGAGGUGGGGCUCUACUGGAGUAAUAUCUCCUGAGCUGCAAGUAGCUGCACUCCCAUGUUCCUGUGUGUCCACAGAGCCACUAGGCUCAGGCGGAUACUCUGCUUCUCACAGGUCAGCCAUUCAACCCUCCUGGCCACCAUGAGGCAGGAAUCAGCACCCCCAGCUCUGUUCUUUUGAAGCAACACCACUGAGAGAAGGGACCCUGUGAGUCACAGCUUUCUAGGCAUUCCGUUUGUAAGGAUGUGUGUGGCGAGGAAUGGAAACUGGAACUGAGGCAAAGCAGAGACCAGCCUCUUCCUCACAGCAUCUUUGCCUUGCUUUGUGUGCUUGAUCUUGGAUUUCCAGCCUCCAGAACUGUGAGAAGUACAUGUCUGUUGUUUCUAAGCCACUGCGUCUAUGGUAUUCUGUUCCAGCAGUCCAAACUAAGACAGGAGCCCCAGUCUUGCCCAGAGUGAGAGAGGUACUCUCCCCUUCCUUCUGCCAACUCUCAGAUCACACAGGGGUGAACUGAAAUUCCUGCUCAGGUCAUGCAAGGGUGGACUGGAAAUUCCAUCCUCCUAUUUUGUAAGUACCUUCAAACUAUAAAAAGCAUUUUGCAAGCACCUUCAAAAGGUUUUUAAAACUUUCCAAAAAGAAAUGUAAAUGUGGGCGAAUGUUUUUUUGAUCCAGGAAACAUGCAUAAUGGGACUUUUAAGAAAGGGUCACUUGGUGUCCCCUCCUUUGAUUUUAAGGAAGAGAAAGGGCUCUUUCCCCCCUGCCCAUUGGAUGGGAAGACAAGGCUUUCCUCUGUAUGAGAGCUGCACACUCCCCCAAACACCACCAACUCUUAGCUCUCUCCAGUCUUCUUAUAUUGACCAGGAAGGUGGGACUUCCAUCCACAGGCCCCAGCAACAGUGAGCAGUGCCACGUGUACCCAAGGUGAACAUGUUGCAUGCAGGGGAUGGUGCCUGAGUCAGGGCUGCCAACUGAGUGUGCAGGGCAGAUGUAUCUGUCCAAGGAGGUAUGCACUGAACUCUGCUGUCAUUUUAAGCUGGUAGGCCAAUGGUUUCUUCCCGUCUGGACAGAAUGUGCCUUCAUGAGGGGCUGUGGAUAACUGUGAUCACAUGAAACUGUUGGACGAGCUGAUCUGGACAACCUAGGGGCAGAUGAGAGUGAAUUAUUGUGCUUUACAGUACUUUUGAAGAAAGGCAGUUUUACGACUUUCAAAUAGAUAUGGUAAAUGGGAACCAUGUGUGACCAGCAGAGGCCCUUGGGGAACUGCUUCAAGGACCAGCUAAGAAUCAGCUAUAACCAGCAAAGCACUUGUUUAUAUGUGAAUGAGCGAGCUUCACAUGUGUUUUAAAAUGUCUUGUUUGAAUGUCUCUCCUGACACCAUUUUCUUACUACCUUUUUUGUACUUCCACGAAGAAAGGGUUGGUUCAACAAAGGCUAACAUCCCCCCAGCCAUAUCCAAAUUAUUACAAACCUCAAAUGCCCACUUCCCCACAAUCAAAGAUGUUUGCCUGAGUUGGCAGCUCAUGAGGAAGCUUGCAUUUCACAGCAGGAAGAAGGGUUUAGCCAAAAUUUCCACAUGGAGACAACCUUGAUCCCAACCCAAACCCAUCUCAUGAUACUCAUCUCCAGACUUGCUCAAAAAUAUUUGAGGAACUUAGCUGAGUUUAAAUACUCAAGGGAGAAAGAUGGAAAGUUGAAGCCUCCCUGGUGAACUUCGACCUGGUACAGGUUUUUAAACAGUGAUACUUAUCCAGUGACUACUGUGUAUGUGCCCCCAUGGGGGAUGCUCUAAUGAACAUGUCCUCCAGGAAAAUUGAAUCUUGUGGAUUUCAGUUGGUGAGAGGGGACAUGCAUACAAACCAUGGCACAAGGCAAAGUGAAGGUAAUGCAACGGAAUAGAAAUAAACAGCACUCCACAGUGGGGCAAGAGAAUAUUACUUCCAGCCAGAGAACCACAAGAGACUCUAUGAGGGAGAUCACCUGUGGUUGUAGAUGUGCAUUCUACCAUCCAGCAGUUACACUUCUAUAUGGUAGAAACUUUUGCAGGUGAACUCAAGGAAAUAUGCACAAAGACAGUGCAGCUUUCUAGGUAGUGUCAAAAAAUUAGAAAUAAUCCAAAUAUCCACUAAUAGAUGAAAGGAUGAAUAAAUUGAGAUAUUUUCAUACAAUGAAACAUUAUACCUAGGUUGAAGUGAACGUACUAGAGCUCGAUGUAUCUACAUGGAAAAACCUAGAUAACCAUUUUGGUCAACAAUUAAAAAAAUGCAGAAGAAUAUUUACAAAGAUGGCAUUAUGUAAAUUUUAAACUCAUGAAUUGACAUACUCCUUAUGUGGAAAAUGCAUCCGUACAUAGGGGAAAAAGAUACCCACUCAUUUCAGAAUAUUGAUCACCUUUGGAGACAGAAGGAGGGGUAUGAGAUAAGGAAGGGGCAUAAAGGGGACCUCAGAUAUACCAUUACUUCCUUUCAAUUUUUUAAAUUAAAUGUGAUUAAAUGUAAACAUUCUUAAAGCUAAGAAGUAGGCAGAUGGGCUUUUGUUACAUGAUUCUUUAUUUCUCUGUAUGUUUGAAAUAAAUUCAUUCAUUAAGAAAAUGAGGUCUUUCAUUCUUCUAGAAAUACUGAGUAAAAUAUUACAUCUUUUUAAAUGCGAAGCUGAGCUUUCAAGAAAGUAAACAGAAUUAAUCUGGAGGAAAAAACAAAGAAGUAACUAAAAAUCAAAAUUUUAACUGUGGUGAGUGAUGUUGUAGAGACUGGUGGGGGCAGGGAGUUACUGGCCCUGAUAACCAGAGAGCAAAUGGCUAAAGUUAAGAUAUUCACAUAAAGGCAGGACUAUACUCCAGGUGGACGGCAGAGUCGGGGCCUGGGGGGACCUACCUCUGGUACACGGACAACCUGUAAGCUUACUGGUCUUAUAGUCCAGGUACCGAGGAAAAAAAUCCUAUCCUCAGGGUAUUUGUAGAAAACAAUAAGCAGCAACUAUUUAGCAUCACAGAUGCCUGAGAUAGUGACAACAGAUGGGGCAAACAAGAGACUGG
RNAcentral lists this long non-coding RNA (4006 nucleotides) under Homo sapiens (human). RNAcentral's name for it is "HSALNT0030778". Lineage: Eukaryota; Metazoa; Chordata; Mammalia; Primates; Hominidae. The record is from RNAcentral.